RNAcentral lists this ribosomal RNA (527 nucleotides) under Acanthaspis gulo. RNAcentral's name for it is "partial 16S ribosomal RNA". It matches the Rfam family "Bacterial large subunit ribosomal RNA", at positions 1811 to 2608 of the family's 2925-position model. Lineage: Eukaryota; Metazoa; Arthropoda; Insecta; Hemiptera; Reduviidae. The record is from RNAcentral.
AAACAUGUCCUUUUGUUUAUUUAUUUAAGGUCUGGCCUGCCCAAUGAUUAGUUUAAUGGCCGCGGUAUUUUAACCGUGCUAAGGUAGCAUAAUCACUUGUCUUUUAAUUGAAGGCUGGAAUGAAUGGCUUGACGAAAUAUCAGCUUUCUUUAAAUUAAGAAUUGGAAUUUAAUUUUUUAGUUAAAAAGCUAAAAUAUAUUAAUGGGACGAGAAGACCCUAUAGAUCUUGAAUUAAAUUUUAUUUAAAGAUGUUUGGCUUUUUUAUAAGUUUAAGUGAAGUUUUAUUUUGGUUGGGGUGACUAAGGAAUUUUAAUAACUUCCAUUAGAUUUAUGUCAUUAAUUAGUGAUUUAAUGAUCCAUUUGUAGUGAUUAUAAGAAUAAGAUACCUUAGGGAUAACAGCGUAAUUUUUUCGGAUAGUUCAUAUUGAUGAAAUAGUUUGCGACCUCGAUGUUGGAUUAAAAUAAGUAGUAAAUGCAGUAGUUUACUUACUAGGUCUGUUCGACCUAUAAUUUUUUACAUGAUCUGA